Chlorocebus sabaeus (green monkey) is the source of this 1309-nucleotide non-coding RNA. NCBI's taxonomy places the organism in Eukaryota, Metazoa, Chordata, Mammalia, Primates, Cercopithecidae. The record is from RefSeq and is a predicted model, not a curated record.
UUGUGGCGGUGACGCGCGCCGAGGAGGAGCAGGCCCGCUUCUUUCUGGAGUCGGCCGGCUGGGACUUGCAGAUCACGCUAGCGAGCUUUUAUGAGGACGGAGGUGAUGAAGACAUUGUGACCAUUUCGCAGGCAACCCCCAGUUCAGUGUCCAGAGGCACAGCCCCCAGUGAUAAUAGAGUGACAUCCUUCAGAGACCUCAUUCAUGACCAAGAUGAGGAUGAGGAGGAGGAGGAAGGCCAGAGGUUUUAUGCUGGGGGCUCAGAGAGAAGUAGACAGCAGAUUGUUGGCCCUCCCAGGAAGAAAAGUCCCAACGAGCUGGUGGAUGAUCUCUUUAAAGGUGCCAAAGAGCAUGGAGCUGUAGCUGUGGAGUGAGUGACCAAGAGCCCUGGAGAGACCAGUAAACCGAGACCAUUUGCAGGAGGUGGCUACCGCCUUGGGGCAGCACCAGAGGAAGAGUCUGCCUAUGUGGCAGGAGAAAAGAGGCAGCAUUCCAGCCAAGAUGUUCAUGUAGUAUUGAAACUCUGGAAGAGUGGAUUCAGCCUGGAUAAUAGAGAACUCAGAAGCUACCAAGAUCCAUUCAAUGCCCAGUUUCUGGAGUCUAUCCGCAGAGGGGAGGUGCCAGCAGAGCUGCAGAGGCUAGCUCACGGUGGACAGGUGAACUUGGAUAUGGAGGACAAUAGGGACGAGGACUUUGUGAAGCCCAAAGGAGCCUUCAAAGCCUUCACUGGCGAGGGUCAGAAACUGAGCAGCACUGCCCCCUAGGUGUUGAGUACCAGCUCUCCAGCCCAACAGGCAGAAAAUGAAGCCAAAGCCAGCUCUUCCAUCUUAAUCGACGAAUCAGAGCCUACCACAAACAUCCAAAUUCGGCUUGCAGAAGGCGGGAGGCUGGUGCAGAAAUUUAACCACAGCCACAGGAUCAGCGACAUCCGACUCUUCAUCGUGGAUGCCCGGCCAGCCAUGGCUGCCACCAGCUUUAUCCUCAUGACUACUUUCCCGAACAAAGAGCUGGCUGAUGAGAGCCAGACCCUGAAGGAAGCCAACCUGCUCAAUGCUGUCAUCGUGCAGCGGUUAACAUAACCGCCCAGCCAGCUGCCUGGCGUCCCUCCUGUGUUUCCCAUGGCCAGUGGCCAUGCCCCAUGAGGAUCACCCCUCCUGCCCCCUUGUGCACACCCAGCAGUCCAGUGCGACGUCUCCUCCAUAGCUCUGGGUUCUUAGAUCUUGGUUGGACAUUUGUUUUCUCCUUAGUUGCAUUUCCUGGGUUUUUGUGACGAUCAAUGGACUUUAAUGAAAAAAAAAAAAAAACCACC